GGUUAUAUAUCUAUUCAAAUUUGAGCCAUUUAAAUGUGAAAAAUUCUUUGAUUUAACUUUUGAACGUGUCUUUUUCUAUAUGUGCAUUGUAAAUGUUUGAUCAUGCCCUAAGUUGUUUAAUUUGAAAUUAGAGCCUUUUGAGGUUGAUUUUUAUAAUCUAUACUACUUAUAAAAGAUGGAGUUUUUAAAUUUUUUUCUUUCCCAAAAUAUCGGUCCCUAUUAAUAUAGUAGUGUAGAUUAAAAAUUUUAAAACUCUCUCUUUUAUAAGUGGUAUAGAUUAUAAAAAUCAACCUCAAAAGGCUCUAAUUUCAAAUUAAACAAAUUAGGGCAUGAUCAAACAUUUACAAUGCACAUAUAGAAAAAGACAUGUUUAAAAGUUAAAUCAAAGAAUUUUUCACAUUUAAAUGGCUCAAAUUUGAAUAGAUCUAUAACCUACGAUCUAAUUGCCCUUAUCCAUUUAAUUUAAAUAUAUUUAACACCUUAACCACUGGCGCACGGCUUACAUGGUGCACCGGGUGUGCGUAAUGAAAAUUUGUACACCUAUCCAAUAGGGAUAGAAGAACCUUCUAAAGUGGCGGUUAAACACACACAGAGAGAAUUGUGCUAUUCUGUUAAUCCUUAAGAUUAGAUGGAACAGGCGAAAAAUACGGAAAUCAAACUAAUCAUUGAAAAGAUCAAUCCAACAAAAAUAUCCAGCUCCCAAAAUGCUCUACUAUAUCUACCCAAAAAUCUCCCCCCAACACUACCCCUAUAGUAUGAGCACUCCACCCCCCUCCUCUUCCGCUACCGCGCCCUCUCCUCCUCCCUUUCCUCCCCAAAUGAAGCGCAUCCUACGCCUUCUCGCCGUCCUCGCCUCCUUCGUCUCCCUCCCCGCACUCGCAUGCGGCGUGUGGCUCCUCGUGACCCGUGACUACGACUGCGAGGACCUGCUUGUGACGAGCGGCAUGCGCGUAGGCGUCGGGGUGGGGCUCCUCGGCAUGUUUGUCGUCAGCAAUGCAGCCGGGUACUCGACCGUGCGGAAGGGGGUGGCGCUGGCCGGGUACGCGGUGCUGGCGGUGGCGCUCGUGGUGGCACUCACCAUGGGGCUCGUGCUCGUCGGCGUGUACAAGAUGGAGGCCCGACAAGUCCCCGCCUCGCCCGGGUGGUUCCAGACGCGCCUCGCGAGCACCGGAAACUGGAAUGAGGUGAAGUCGUGCUUGUACAACAAUCGCAUCUGCAGCGACUUGGCGUACCGCACCGGCGGCCUCUCGGCGCACGAAUUCGGCAAGAUCAAGCUCUCUCCGGUUGAGGUAUUACCACGUUCUCCAUGCAUGCAUGGAACGUACGUCCAUGACUCACAUGCAAUGUUACGGUUUCGUAGUUUAGGCGCAUUUUUGGCUUAGCUUCUGCUCAAGUAUUUGUCAACUUAAUAAAUGUGAAUUGACAACUUAAAAGCUACUAUUUUUGGUACAACGAGUUGUUUUUUUCUUCUUUUUUUUUUUGCCCUUUUGUUGUUGAUUUAUUUAGAUAGAAGCAAUAAUCUGAUGCUUCUGAGUUUAGGCGCAUUUUUGGCUCAGCUUUUGCUCAAGUAUUUGUCAACAAAGUAAGCAAUGCAAGUACGAAUUUAAAACUAAAAAGUUUCUAUUUUUGGCACAACGAGUUGUUUUUUAUUUCUUUUCCCCCUUUUUGUUGAUCCAUUUAGCACCAGAGUUAGUGCUUUUCGCAACUGUAAUAUUGCUGUAGAUAUAUAGGAGUAAUGAUCUGGUGCUUCCUAUAUACUUUUUUGUAGUUUAGGCACAUUUUCACCUUAACUUCUACCCAAGUAUUUAUCAACAAGUUAUAAAUAAAUAAGCAUGAAGUUUAAACUUAGAUGCUACUAUUUUUGUCACAAAGAGUUUUUUUUUUUUUUUUCUUUUUUAUUGAUCCAUUCACCGCCAGAGUUAGUGCUUUUUGCAACUGCAAGUGCUUUUGUAAAUGAGUCUUUUACAUAUUUGUAACAUUUUGCACAAUAAAAGCAUCCUUGCCAUGCAGAAGCAUGACCAAAUAAGCCCUAAUUUUUUCUUGCGUACUAAAUCUUAAUCAUUUUUUAAAAAUUUUGUUUGGUUACGAAUAAGGCGGGAUGUUGCAAACCGCCGGACGAAUGCGGGAUGGCGUACGUGAGCGCGACCGACUGGAUAUUUGCAGAGAACAACGACUACGCAAAAUACGCCGGAGGCAAGUACAGGCCCGAUUGUCGUGCGUGGGGGAACCGAGCCGAUCAGCUGUGCUUCAACUGCGAUAUGUGCAGGGACGGGUUCGCGAAGGCCGUCACGAGUCGAUGGAGGAAGGUCGGGAUCUUCCUUAUCGUGAUUUCGGUGCUCCUGAUCGCAGUGCACGCGGCACGGUUCAUCAUCUUGAUGUCAAAGAAGUAGAAUUCAUCUUUUGUUAUAUGUUUUAGCUAUGGUACAUUUUGGCCGAAAUGUAUUGUGAUCAAUAUCAUUCAAAUUUAUGUAGGUCAUUUUUUGAAGUAGGACACUGAAGUUUAAUUUGUUCUAUUUAAAUUAGACACCUCCUCAAUUUGUUGUUUAUUUUGAUUCAUAUAUAUUAUGGGUAGAAAUUGGGUGCUAUUAGAGCACGAAAACCUCAAUGCUCCUAAACUAUUUUCGACGAUGGGACUUGCGAAUUCCUCAAUGCUCCUAAACUAUUUUCGACGAUGGGACUUGCGAAUUGACGAUCAGUUCUGUUUUACUUAAUCUAACAUAUUUGAACUAUUUAGAAAAUAAUUUUUACAGAUUUUCUCCAAUAAAUCCAUUUGCUUAUGGAGUAAAUUAGCAUGAUACCAUUUGUUAUACAAUAGAUUCGCAUUUAUAUAUUAAAAUGUUAGUAACUUAUCUACAUUUGAAUGCCAUAUAUAUUACUUAAGCUUAAUUAAGAAACUGACACCAUUAUAUAAUUAGUCUAAUACAUAAAUAUAGAAUCAUUAGUAUUUCAUAUUGAGGUGUCAAGGUAUAGUACGUUAAUGAUCAGCUCUAAUUGAUAAAAGUCUAAUUCUCUCAAUUAGUAAGAAUAUAUAAUCAUCUGUAUAGGAAGAAAGGGUAAUUGCGCUUUUCCGUAAACUAUGAGGUCCGUGACACUUAAUUUGGUCCUCAAUCUUCAAUUUGUUGCUAGCAAACUGGCUCGAAUUUUUAGAAUUAUUAUAAUCAAAUUCCAUAACUCAAUUUAAUAAGCUAAUUAAUAUUCACAAAUUAUUGACAUAGAAGUGAUAUAGUAUAUUAAUUAUUAUUACUUCAUCAAUGACAAUACUUUCACAGUAUUUCUAUAUUAAUAGUUUGUCAUAUAUUUAGUCAACAAAAUUAGAUUGUAGAAUUUAAUUGCAAUAAUUUUGAAAGUUCAAAUCAUAAAUUAUUACGAAUCAAAGUUUGAGGACCAAAUGAAAUAUACAUAUCUUAUAGUUUGGGGACCAAAACUGUAAUUUAUCCUAGAAAAAAAAAAAGUUUCAACACACCUAUACAGGUAGUAAUUAAAGUGGAUAUACACCAAAAUUUGUUAUUUUAAAUAUCUUUUAACUUUUUAUUGUUAAUAAUUUACCUAUAAUCUCUCUCUCUCCUAGUACUAUGAAUUAAAAUCUCUCUCUCUUUCUCUCUACCCUAACUAUCUCUAUAACUUCGUAAGUUACUAACAAAUUCGUGCUUAUCUAAUUAUCUAGGGUAUAUUCUAUAUAUAGUAUAUAAAAAAACAGCAACAAGCAUAAAUUUUAAAAUUUUAAAAAAUUUGAUACUUUGGAGGGAACCCGAGUUACAAUUUGUAUUUGGUAACUGUUUGACUAUAUUUUGUUCGAAAAACAAACUGUUUCAAAAUAACGACUUUUAUGCUUUGAACUAAGGCUGUUUGAUAUUAAGACCCAUCUGACGCUAUUAGAUAAAAUAGAGUUGGGAUAAAAGCAUAUGGGAUAUGCUUCUGCGUUUUUAAUGGCAUCGCAAAAAAUAUAUCGUAACCAACUCAUCGCGAUAUGCGGAACGCAAUAUUACGUACGGAAACAAACAGAACAUUUUCCUUCGUACUUUCUCACCACACGUAAUGCAAUCUUCCCACAAUCCCAAACAAAGCCUAAACUAACGUGCAUAGUAUGAAAAAAGAAAAAAAGAAAAAAAAAUCAAAGAGGGCCAUUGUGUUCGGCUGGGUAUUCGACUUGCUCUAGCUCGGAUCGUAAUUAAAUAAGCCGAGCUUGGGUUACUGGGGUCACCUGUAUUAGGCUUCAAAAGCUCAUAUAUAUAUAUAUAUAUAUAUAUAUAUAUAUAUAGAGAGAGAGAGAGAGAGAGAGAGAGAGAGAGAAAACUAGGUUGGAACACUAUCAAUAGCACCAAACUAUUGGUGCUAUUGAUUUUUUAGCCCUUAAAUUGAAAACUAGGUUGGAACACUAUCAAUAGCACCAAACUAUUGGUGCUAUUGAUUUUUUAGCCCUUAGAUUGAAAAAUGGAUGGUUAGGAUGAUGUGGGCCCCCUAGGGUUGAGUGAGUGGUUGGUUGAAUAGUAUAAUCUAACGAAUAAAAAUAAUCAUAGGGUUAAAUCUAACGGCGGAAAACUCGAUAACACCAAAUUCUUUGUGCUAUCGAUAGUACCCCAGCCGUCCGGCUAUGGUGCUUGUAAAUUUUUUACCGUUAGAUCUAUAUCUUUGAUCAUUUUCACCUGUUAGAUUAUAUUAUUCAACCAACCACCCACUCAACCCUAGGGGGCCUACAUCAUCCUAACCGCACAUUCCUUAAUCCAAGGGCCGAAAAUUUACGAGCACCAAUGACUUGGUAUUUUUAAAAGUAUAGGAGCUCAAUUCUAGCUAUAUAUAUCAAUUCAUAAACUAAUUUUCUUAGUAUUAUGCUAUGGCAUUUUAUACAUUUAUUUUGUAUAUUAAACUAUAAAAAAUAUUCUCGUGUCAAGUUCUAAAUAAUGUUCUAUGAAAAUCAAAUCGUAAAUUGCUCUAUAUCAGAAAUUUCAAAUAGCUCGUUUAGGGCUCGCAUUCGCUCGAGCUCGACUCGAAUUAAUUUUAAGCUGAGCUUUAGCUUGAAUUUAGCUCAAAACUAUUUUCAAGCCAAACUUGAGCUAAGUUAAGCUCACUCGAGCUCGACUUGCUUUCAUCCUUAAUUGCACGCAGUCAAAAAUGCAAUAAAAAAAUAUUCUAUUUAUUUCUGUAAGUGACAACUACUUAAUCAAAUAACACUUGUUCAAUUAGAAUACACUUUUUGUAGUUGCAAUGAUAAACAUUAUAAGCCUGUUUGUUUGGGUAAAAUGGAGAAGGGUGAAGUCGUUUUCGGCCAUAAACGAUUACUUCUAUUUGGUUCGCAGUAUUAAAGAUAUGAUCGAAACUCGAAUUAUCUAAAACAGUAUAAUUGACUUUGGCCUCCCUGGGCCGAAGUCAAUUAGAGUGAAAAAAGGUGAAAAAAAUAAUAAUACAAUGGGCAAUACUAGUUAUAUUUAAAUAUAUUUAAUUGUAUAUGGUACUUAUUACUCUUUUAAUUUAAAAUAUGAUAAAAUUUGAUUAAUUAAGUUUUAGUAUUUUUUUAAUUUAGUUUGUAUAUUUAAAAUGCAAUGAAAAUUGCUUAGUUAAGUAUUAAUUUUUUUCUACUUUAUAAUUUUAUUAUUGUAUUAUUAUAAUUUGUGUAUAAAAAAUAAUUUAGUUGUUUCAGAUUAAAUUUUUUAAUUAUAUAAGAAUAUAAUUACAUUAUUUUUAUUUAUUAAAUAAUAAUUUAUUAUUUAUUAAGUUAUUUACACUACAAUAAAAACGGUAUAUAGCGACACUUUUAAAUAUCGAUAUAGGUUAAAAAAAAAUGCUGCUGGCUAAAUUACCGACACUUUUUAAAAGUGUUGCUAAAUGUGGGGUCGCUAUAUGUGAGGCCACCAUAAUGUUUGGCACCCACUCCUCCAGCGACCCGUGGCGGAGGAACACAUGGCGACAGUAAUCCUCUACGGUCCCUGCGAGAUUCUCACGGCCGAACUCCAGCCACCGGAACCCUAUCUCGUCGGCUGCGGUGGCGGAGGAGAAGUGGAAAUGAUGAUUAAUUUUUCUUUUUCUUUUUUUUACUUUUCUAUUUGUAAUUGGGCCCGAGUGGGGUGGAUGGAAUUGGUUGAGUAGAGGAACUUUUUAUUUUUGAUUAGAUUGGACUUUAUAUUUAGGACUUAAUAGAUUUUUUUAAAAAGUUUUGGCAUAAAUGGGACACUUAUACAAAAGUGUCCCAAAAAUGUAUCCCUAUAAUCUAAUUCUGUUGUAGUGUUAUUAUUUAUAUAUAAAUUAUUGUUUUAUAUUAUGCAAUUUCUGCCAAACAAACAGUAGAACAGAAAAAAUUUUACUUUCAUAGCUAUGAAAACAAACAGUGAGAGAAAAGUAAUUUUCACCGAACUUCACUUUAACUCAAAAUUCAGUUUCAGUGAAACAAACAGGGUCUAUGCGACAGGCUCUAAGUUAUGAGAUGGCCCAUUCGACAUUACAAGUCAAAUGAUCCACACACACACUACGCAUUACGUUCUAGUGCGUGGGUCCAAAUGAUAAAAAGGGCCCUUUUAACGUGUCACAAGCAAUAAAAAAACUAAGCCAUCAAAAUUGCUCCACUAUAGAAAAAUUCAAUAUCCUCCACAAGUUUUUUUGCCACGCUAACCCAGUUUACUUUUUUAGUGUACCAAUUCAAAUCCCUCAACCAACUCAAACACUUGCAUAUGACUCGUUUUUGAAGCAUAUUUAUUGCUCCUUAAUUUCUCACAAUCCAUAACAUAGAGAUCAUAAAACAAAUAUACAGUGUCACUUCAUAAACAUGGCUUAUGUGAAAGGUGUUUUAGCCAUUGCUAUUUUCGUCGUGGCUUCUUGUGUUAUACAUGUCGAGAGUCGGGUCGCGAGGAAAGGCCUAGGCAUAAGCAUCGGUGAUGGCGGCGGAGUCGGUAUCGGUGCCGGAACAGGAAUCAGUGUGGGCAUAGGAGAUGGUAGUGCCUCCGGUUCUGGUUCGGGCUCAGGGUCUGCAUCCGGGUCUAGUUCUGGCUCUGGUUCCGGAGCUAGCUCAUCUGCCGGUUCGGGUGCUGGUUCAUCUGCUGGAUCAGGUGGAUCGUAUGCUGGGUCCGGUGCAGGGUCCGGCGUUGGUUCGGGCUCGGAACACGGUCAAGCGCACGGAUCGGGCCAAGGGCAAGGGUUAGGUUCGGGUUCAGGUUCGGGUUCAGGGCAUGGUGAAGGCUACGGAGAGGGUUAUGGCUCGGGUGAGGAUUCUGGGUCAGGUUCAGGUCAUGGUGAAGGAUACGGGGAAGGUUACGGGUCAGGGUCAGGGUCCGGGUCGGGUAACGGUUCUGGAUAUGGUUAUGGCGAAGGGCGCGGAUAUGGAUCUGGAAAUGGUAGUGGAAAUGGUAAAUACUAAAUAGAGGCCUAAGUUUACCAUCCUAGUUUUUGGGCCACCUCUAUGUACUUAUAAAUAAUGAGAUGGUGAAUAAAAAUAAAUAGUUAGUGAGUUACCCCAAUAAUUUAAUUACUUUGGAACAAAUUUAUAUAUUGCAUGAUAUUAACAUGAUGAAUCAACAUAAUGAAUAUCAUUAUAUUCUUCAACAGAAACUGCUUUAAUUGUGAUCCUCUUCACUUUCAAUUUUUCAGACUUAGAUGAUUGUAGUUACAAAAGCUAAAAAAAUUUAUCAAAUUAAUUAAUAAUUAUAUCAGAUAUAAGAGUUUUAGUUACUUUUCGGCACAUAAAAUGGGAACAGUUAAAUAGCUAAUAGCGUCAUUAACUUAAAUAAUUUAAUAUUCUUAGUCGAUACACUACAACAGAAUUAGGUUAUAGCGAUACAUGUUUAGGACACUUUUGUAUAAGUAUCACAUUUAUGCCAAAACUUAAAAAAAAUCCUACUAAUGCCUAAAUAUAAAGUCCAAUCCAACUAAAAAUAAAAGGGUACUCUACUCAACCCACUCCACUUAGCCUAUUCGGCCCGAUUACAAACAAAAAAGAAAAAGAAAAGAAAAAGAAAAGAAAAAUCAAUUAUCAUUUUCCCUUCUCCCCUCACUCAAUCGACUGAAAUCCUAGACGAAGAUCAUUUCCUCUCGUCCUCCUCUGCCACCGCAGCCAACGAGGUAGAGUUCCGGCGGUUGCUAAAUGCUUAAAUAAAUGUUGGUAAAUUAGCAGCACUCUUUUAGAUUAUAGCAACACUCUUUAACUGUCACUAUAUAUCUAGCGACUCCACAUAUAGCAACACUUUUCAAAAGUGUCGGUAAAUUUAGCCAGCAGCACUUUUUUGAUCUAUACCGAUAUUUAAAAGUGUCGCUAUAGACCGUUUUUGUUGUAGUGAUACUACGGAAAGAAAUAGUAAGUUUGAAUCUCUCCCGACUCCUUGUGAUUCUUUAGUACAAUUUAUAUGCGUACAAUAUUUGAAUAAAAUUUGAUCAGAGUACAAAAGUAAGUUUCAUUAAAAGAAUAAAUAAACACAAUAUUGUACACAUAAUAAUGUUUCUGAGAUCUGAUUCAUCAGAACACUCCUUAUUUAUAAUCUGAGUCCUAUGCUUAUAAAUUGGAUAGUCACGCAUUUUCCAAGCUCACAUGUCAGUGUUCGGUACAUUAAAUAAUUGUAAUUUAUUCAGAAUUAAGCAUAUAUAAAUAAGAGUACAAAUUAUAAUAAUAGUAGUAAUAAAUAACAUUAAAGUUCAAAACACCAAGUUAUACUCAACAAUAAAAACCUUAUUUUAUUCUGAAAUGGACACCCUUUAGCUUUUUUUUAAAAUUUGAAUUUUUAUAGUUAAUCAAGUUAAAAUAUUUGUUAAAUUUCAUAGAUCAAUUAGCUAUUAGCAGUUUGUUAUUCUAUUUUUUUUAAUUUAAACAAUUUUAAUAGAACUAUCAGCCAAUUCGGUAAAAUUUUAAUUUAUUUGGCCAAACUAAUUCAAAUUUUUUUUAAAACAUAAAAUGUUCAGAAAAUCUAAAUAAAGCAAAUAGUAAUUCAGAGAGCUAUUUCAAAAUGGCUUAUAUAUUUUCUGAACAUGUGUGUAACACCUGCUAAAAUUAAAAGUUAAAAAGAUCUCAUCAAUAGAUUAAAAAUAUAGUAGUAACUCAGAGGACUAUUUCAAAACCCCUAUAUUAAAAAUAUAGGGGUUCUGGAUCCAACGCAAACCUAUAUGAGCUUGAGAAUGUGAUAUAUAUGAAACUCAGUCAAACUAAAAGUUUAAACUUAUUAGGUUUGAACUCAUUAGUAGAUAUCAAUUUUUUACUCCUUUGUUAAGCGAACUCACUCAUUUGAGAUCAUGCGCUUUUUAAGUUGCGUUAUUCUGCUAUUCAUCAGAGCUCAUGCACCUGACCCGCGCCUUUCUGGUCCAACCAUAUUGAAUGCAUUAACCAUCUAAACGCAUGCGCCUAACCCAUGCCUCUCAAACCAAUUCGUUUUGGGGGGUGCCAAACCGUCAUAUCACGUAUUGUGACUUCUCUCAGCGAACAUGUCAUAUUCGUAAGAGCCACUCACUAACUUGAUCGCAAGUUUAAGCCUAUCAGGCUUGAACCCAUCAGUAUUCUUUACUCAUUUGUUAAGCGAACUCACUUAUCUGAGACUAUGCACUUUUUAAUCUGCGCCAUUCAAGAACUCAUCCGAGGCCAUGCACUUAGACCCGCGCCUUUCUGACCCAACUAUAUUGAAUGCAUUAACUAUCUGAACCUAUGCGCUUAACCCAUGCCACACCUCUCAAGCCUAAUUCUCUUCGGUGGCGCCAAACCAUCAUAUCGUGUUUCGUGACUCUCUCAGCAAACCCGUCGUAUUCAUGAGAGUCAUCAAUUCAAUUACACCAUAUCAUUUAGAUAAAUAGUCGAGGAUUGUCAAAUCAUCCGCUCUAAUACCACUUGAUGGAGAGUUUUGAGGCCGGGACAAACCAACAUGAAUCAAGAAUAUGACAUAUUGAAUGCAAAUCAUUCGACCUAAAAGCUUAAACCUAUUAAAUCUGUGCCCACUAAUAUACAUCAAUCAUUUUCUCUCUUAUUAAUAUUAUCUGAUAUUAGACUAUUCACGUGUGAACCCUUAACAAUUCGGUGCAUCAAUUAGCUAUGCACACCAGUAGGUCCCCCAAUAACGUUGAUAACGAAAAUCGCGCUUAGUGGGUGUUAUUAAAGCGCUAAUCUUAAUAUUUAAGAUAAAACUCAUUGAAUCGAAUUUAAUUAUUAUUUACUGGUUGAAUUUGACUAACUUCAGUGAAUAUUUGUGUUCUUGUCAAGAGUAGAUGUAUACAUUUUUUUAAAAGGUUAAAAUACAGAAAAUUCUCUUAUAAUUUUUUUUUUUUACUUUAUAAAUCUAUAUUUUAAUUUUUUUAAAAAAAUAGAAAUAUUAAUGACAAAAUAACAAAAUUGUCCUGAAAGAAUAGUUUUUUAAUAUUUCUAUUUUUUAAAGAAUACUUUUAGCAUAAAUUAUAAGAAAUUGGUGAAAUAGUAACAGAACCCUAACAAAAGGGACUAAACACAUUAUCUUGAAAUUUUGAGAGGAUAAAAUAUAAAUUUUUAAAAAUUAGAGAGGAAAAGUGAAAAAAAAGAUAUUUACCGGAAGAUUUUUUAUAUUUUAAUUUUUAAUAUACAGUCAAAUAUUUGGGAAAUAGCUCACAAUUUUUUUUUGAAUAUUGCUUUUUUGUUGCUCCUAAAAUUUAUUAAACAAAUUUUAAUUAGUGAAACAAAAUAUUAAAACUUCUCCAAAUAAUACUUCUUCAGUUGAAUCUUGGCUUUCUUUCUUUUUCUUUUUCUUUUUUUUUUACGGAAAUGGUUAUCGCACAACUAACAUGCUCGUAAAUUUUCAAUUUUGAAUUAAUUUUUCACAACUAUUAUUUGUCCAUAAAUAAGUAUUAAAGGGUUCAGGGUGGAGAUGUAUAUCACUCCCAUUUAAUUUCAUAAAUGCUUAUUUAAAUUGUGAUCUCGUUCUCAUUGAAUUUAAUAAUGCAUUUAAAGAGAAUUUCUCAUCUCAUGCACUACAACAAAAUUAGAUUAUAGCGACACAUGUUUGGAACACUUUUGUGUAAGUGUUUCAUUUAUGCCAAAACAUAAAAAAAAAUCUACUAAUGCCUAAAUAUAAAGCCCAAUUCAACAAAAAAUAAAAGGUUACUCUACUCAACCCACCCUACCCAGCCCAUUCAAUCCGAUUACAAACAGAAAAGAAAAAAAAAAAAAAAAAAAUUAAUUAUCAUCUUCCUUUCUCCCCUCACUCAAUCCACUGAAAUUCUAGACGAAGAGCCCUUCCCUCUCCUCAUUCUUCGUCACCGCAACCAACGAGGUAGAGUUCCAGCAGUUGCUAAAUACUUAAAUAAGUGUUAGUAAAUUAGCAGCACUCUUUUUAGAUUAUACUGACACUCUUUAACUGUCACUAUAUACCUAGCGACCCCACAUAUAGCAAAAUUUUUUAAAAGUGUCGAUAAUUUAGCUAACAUCACUUUUUUUUAUCUAUACCGAUAUUUAAAAGUAUCCCUAUAGACCAUUUUUUUUUGUAGUGUCACUCCUGUUUAAUUUGAGAGAUUCGUCCUUUAUUAAAGUACAGCAGAUUUUUAGUAUAACAAAACAAUAGUCACCAUUCAUUUUAGCAAAAAAUAAUAUUGAGCAAACAUUCUUUUAUUUUCUCCUGCAUUAUUUCAUAUAAAAAAUUCAUUUCAAAAAUAAAAAUUUAUGUUACAUUGAAAUAGAUUUUUUACAUAGAAUGCGGGGUGGGUAUAAAUUUUAUAGGUAUAAAUUUUAUAUCCAAUGGAUAGGUGUACACAUAAUAUUGCUCUUACCUGACCGACCGUCCCUAGUGCAAGUGGCAAAGGGCUUAGUGGUUGGUAUCCGAAAUCCAAAUUCGAAUCCUAGUUAGAUUCACAUUUACAGCUAAAUUUAUUUUUAAAUAAAAUAAACGAAAAAGGUAGCGUGCUGCCUAUCUCUUAAAAAUAUAUAUAUAUAUAUUACUCUUACCUGAGUGUAUAGAGCUACGUACGUACACAUAAUAUGCUUUUUUUUUAAAAAAAAAUUUGAUUGAAUAUUGCAUAUCCUAAAUAGUGCAUGUGAAGUAAUAUAAAAAGACCAUCUAUUGAUUAUGGAUAAAUUUUACACUCCCCUUGUUCCAAAGACUUUAUUUUCCGCUUGUUUUAUCAAUUUUUGUUUCAACUAAAGGUUUUUUUUUUGAAUUUCAAUGAAAUUUUAAUAAAAUAAUAUAUAUAUAUUAUUAUAUAUUAUAUAUAUAUAUAUAAUAUAUAUAUAUAUAUAUAUAUAGUGCCGUCUGUAUACUUCUGGAAGCAAGAGCGCUCCGUGUUUCAAGUUGUUUUCGAUGUUCGAUUUUCGAAUCGACGAUCGGCUCCGUUAGACUUGAUCUAGAUAUUUGAAGUAUAUAAAAUAAAUUUUUGAGAUUUUCGAUAUCAUUUGCUAGUGAUCGAAGUGACUCAAAUCAUAAUUUAAUGGCCGUGGUGAGCCGUUUGAAGUUAACGGUGUAGAAUAUCCAAAUCACAUGAAAUUUUGAUAGAAAAUUCUUUAUACUAUAUAAAACAAGAUCAAUAACUUUAAUCUAAAAUUUUAAUGUCAUAUUCAUAUAUUUUGUAAAAUUUUUAUUUUCAACCUGAUUUUGAGCCACAAAAUUAUUUUCUAAAUACUUCAAAAUACUUUAGAUCAACUCUAACGGAGCCGAUCGUCGAUUCGAAAGUCCGAACAUCGAAAACAACUGGAAGCACGGCGGGCUCCGUACUUUCAGAAGCAUACAAGGUCACUCUAUAUAUAUAUAUAUAUAUAGAGAGAGAGAGAGAGAGAGAGAGAGAGUUGAGCUAAAAUACUAUCGAUAGCAAACGAGCUCCGUUGCCACCCAUUUGUUUUCGAUGAUGGAGCUUUCAAAUCGACGAUCGGCACCGUUGAACAUGAUCUAUACCACUUGAAGUGUUUAGAAAUCAAAUUUUAUACAUUUUCGAUAUUGUUCUUUUAUCUAUCGAAUGGACACAAAAAUGAAUGGCUGAAAAUGAAUAUUCUUUAAAAAAUGAUGAUAGAAAUCUUGUAAUCAAGAUUAAGAGUAUAGAUCUUGUUUUAAAUAGUUUAAAGAAUUUUCUAACAAAAAUUUAAUUGAUUUGGAUAUCUUUACACCGUUAAACGAGAAAACGCCUCACAUCGACCAUUAAAAUUACAAAUUUUGAAACCCUUUGAUCAUUAGGCAAAUGAUGUCGAAAAGAUUUAAAAUUUGAUUUCUAAACACUUCAAGUGAUAUAGAUCAUGUUCAACGGUGCCGAUCGUCAAUUUGGAGGCUCUAUCAUUGAAAACAAAUGGGUGGCAACGGAGUCCAUUUGCUAUCUAUAGUAUUCUAGCUCAACUCUCUAUAUAUAUAUAUUUAUAUAUAAAGCUAGGCUUCUAUGCUUUCGAAAGUACGAGAGCCUUCGUACUUGUAAGUUGUUUUCAAUAAUGGGACAUCCGAUUCGGCGAUCAGUUCCGUUAGACAUGAUCUACGCUGUUGGAACUACCUAGAAACCAAAUUUCAUAAAUUUUUUACUUCGUUUGUCUAGUAAACGAGCAGCCUCAAAAUGAACGGCUGAAAAUGAAAACCUCAUAAAAAACAGUGAUAAAAGACUCAAAUUUCAAAUCGGAAGUAUUGGUCUUGCUAUUGAUGUUAAGUAGAAUUUUCUAUUAAGUUUUUAUCUAAUUUGGAUACUUCAACACCGUUGAACUUAAAAACGUGCCACAUCGGCCAUUAAAAUAGUUAUUUUUGAGACCUUUUGAUCGGUUGGUAAAUGAUGUCAAAAAAUUAUAAAAUUUGAUUUCUAAAUAAUUUCAAUAGGAUAGAUUAUACUUAACGGAGCCGAUCGUCGAAUCGAAUUUUCUAUCAUUAAAAAUAACUUACAAGCACGGAGGUCUCCGUACUUUCGAAAGUAUACUUUCGAAAGUAUACGAGACUUACUUAUAUACUGUACUGAAAAGCUAUUGGACUCCCUGAUUUGUACCAAGUACCAACCAACGCACAUGGGGGCCUCAUAAACUAUGGAAACUUUUUCCACAAACAAAUUAAAGGGAACAUCUACUUUGGAUGUACCAAACCCCUCAAGCUUUUCUCACACUCCAUCUCUCUCUCUCUCUCUCUCUCUCUCUCUAUCUCUCUCAUACAAACUUUUUCUCUUUUUAACUUGCCUUUAUCUCUAGCUUUAUUUUCAAGGGAAAAAAACAAAAAAAAAAAACUCAUACUUCUAGUCCUUAUAUAUGUAUUAGAUAUUGGAUUCCAAAUUAUUGCCUACACGUAAUGCAUCUGCACAUUUGUAAAUCAUACAUUUAUCGAAUCUUCAGUUUCUACAUUAUUUUUCAGUGUUACCAUUUUUUUUUUUUUUUGAGAGAAAGAUAGCAUGCGACCCACUUCGUUUAUUUCAUUUAGAAAUAAACUUAGCUGGAAAUAUGAAUCAACUAGGAUUCGAACUUGGAUCUCGGGUACCAACCACCAAACCCUUUGCCACUUGCUCUAGGAACGGUCGAUAGUGUUACCACUUAUUGAGUCACAAUUUUUCUCUAUGUAUAUAUUAUGAACUGUUGAAUUAAAAGUAUGAGAUCGAUGAAUAACAGAUGAGACUUCCUUUAAUAUUGCAGGAGGAUUAUGUUGCGUACAGUCAAAAAUAACUCCUUUUGCCAAUAUAUAUAUAUAUAUAUAUAUCGAUAGCACGAAGCAUUUUGUGCUAUCAAGUUUUCUACCGUUAGAUUUAACUCUUUUAUCAUCUUCAUUCGUUCGAUUAUACUAUUCAACUAACCACCCACUCAACUCUAGAGGGACAACAUUAUUCUAACCGCACAUCUUUUAAUUCAAAGAUAAAAAAUUUAAUAACACCAAGUCAUUCGUACUAUUAAUAAUAUUCCAGCCUAGUUUUUUUUUUUUUAUGGUCCCACAAGAAAUAGAGAAUUAUUUUCCUAAUAAAAAAGAUUAGAUCUUGAAUCAAAAGUUCGGGGACUAGUAGGCGAAUUAUUAAUUUUAGUUGACUAAAGUCACUCAAUUCUGAAAAAUUAAAAGCCGAGGAAAUUUCAACCAAAAAAAAAAAAAAGAAAAAAGUUGAGGGCAAUUUCAAAACGACAAAUAGUUUAGGGGGUCUCCCCAACUUUUAACUUUUUUCCUUUUCUAAAAUGACGUGUCCCAUAAUUGCGGCAACCCCGAUAAAAAUCGACAGCAUAAAAACCGCGGGACCCACGCGUGUGUUGGGGGCGGAGCCAAUGAGAGCGCGCCGAACCCAACGGUCGUCAAUGCUGACGUGGCAGGAGUCCAAAGCCGGUAAACCCCCGCUCACCGCCACCGUCCAAAUCCCGAGUCCACCGGCUCGCCGGUGAAUCUCCCGGUCACCCCCGCCCCUUCCCCGUUUUAGCCGCGACCGGUUCAACCGGUCGUCAAAUACCCCGUUCGUUUCAAAGUUUGAAUGAAGCUGCUACCAUUUUUGCAAACAAACCCACUAAAAAACAGAUAUUUACAUAUACCGGAAACCCCCUCAAAUAUAGCUUAAUUCGAACUGGUCCCCUCAACUUUCUUUCUUAACACCUUUAAAUUUUGGAAAAUUUUCAAAUACCACCUUAUAGUUUCACACUUUUUUAUUUUAGUACCAUAUAGUUUAAAGUGUAUCAAUUUAGUACUCAAGGUUUCAUUUUUCUUUUUUAUUAUCCCAUCCACUAAUUUUUUUCGUUAUAUUAGUGACAAAGUUCAAACUAAAAGAUAUUAAGUAAAUAUCCGAUAAACUUAGGUAGGGUAUCUGAAAUUUUUUGUUUAUAAUUUAACAAAAUGUUAACGGAGGAGCUGACGAAAAGAGAGAAAUAAAAUCAUAGGAUACUAAAUUGAUACAUUUUAAAAUACAGAAUACUAAAGUGAGAAAAUACUAAACCACGAGACUGGUAUUUGAAGCUUAUCCUUUAAUUUUUUAUUUUUUACGAACUAAAUAUAAAAAUUUUAUCAAUUUUAAUCAGUAUAAUUUUUUUUAACAAAUAGAAUAAGAAUGAUUACUUUUUAUUUAUAUUUUUCUAAAUAGAAUUUAUACAUAAAAUAGUGUAGUAGGAAAUGGUUGAAUUAUUUAUAAAUCUUAUAUCCAAGUUGUUUACUUCACAACAAAAGUUACAAACAUAAAAAUGAUUUUUUAAAAAAAAAAUUAUAAUCCAUUGUUUUGUCGAGAUGCAAUAAAAAGAAAGUUCUUUCGCCAAUAUAUUAAAAUUUAAAGUUUAGAAUAAUAAGAAAAAUGCAGGAAUACCUAACAAGGCAUAAAUUUAAUAAAAUAAUAUGCAAUCAAAAUGUUUGUAAAAUUGAGUUUAAGAAUUAAAAUAAAUUGUUCAGGGGUCUAUUUACAAACCUUUGCAUAUUUUUCCCACUUUAAAGGGUUACGGACACGUGGCAGUUGAAAACAGCCAAACAACAAACAUUCGGAUAUCUCGAGACUUAAAUAACAAGUUACCCGACUCUUGCAAACAGAAGAUGCAAAUGGAUUCGGGUUAGUGGAGCUUCUGUUUAGAUCCGUUUUAAAUGGGCAAUCAAUAGAAACCAAUAUAUAUAUAUAUAUGAAGUGAAUGGUGAAAGAUUUUUUUUUCUUUAAAAUCGAUCCACUCCAAAUCCGACCGAAUCCAAUAAAAAGCGGAGCUGAAGAUGGAAACUCCUCCCGCCUCCAGAUCCGCCCCGUUUGCCGUCGAACCAGGGCCCAAUUUCAUAAUAACUUUGCUUACAAUGUAAUUAAUUUAUUAUAUAGAGUAAACUUACAAUGCUUUUAGGAUCCGACGAAUGUGUUCCUUUUUGCAUCAUUUCGAUGAUAGAACAUCUAAAUUCAUGAUUAAGAAAAUUAAAUAUAAUUUAAAUUAUUUAACUUUUAUACAAUAUAAAUUUUUAAAUUUUUAAAUAUUAUCUUUUUAGUAAUUAAAUAGUUUUAAAUUUAUCUUAGGAUCCAUUUGGCUCAGAAUUUGUAAUAUUACGAAAAUAUUUUAUAUUUUCUAUUAAAAAAAAUAUUUAAAUCAGUAUCAUUCAAUUCAAGUUGGAUAAUUGUAAAAAAUAUUAGUGAAAUAAUAAAAUUAUUUUAGACUUUUAGCCUAUAGAAUAUAUUUUUGAAAUACAACAAAUUUUGCAUCAAAUGGACUCUUAUAUUAAACAUAGUUAAUUUUAAGACCACUAGAAUACUAGACAGAUAAUGUCAAAAAAAUUAUAAAAAUUGAUAUAGAUCAAUUUAAUAGUGUUGUUCGUUAAUUCAGAAGCUUCGUCGCCCAAAGGCCGAUUAUAUUCAAUUCUAAAAUUUUAAAAUGAUGUACUUUAUAUUUGAAACUUUUUAAAUUGUUGCAAUAUAAGUCGUGUAGUUCAAUUCGGUUAAUGCAAUGACGAUGAGUCACUGAUGUGUCGGUGAUGUAAAAUUUUAAUUACUAAAUUUUAUACUGUAAUAUUUAUCUCUAAUAAAAGAGUACGAGAAAUACUAUUUGUACGCUUAAAAGUAGAAUAUAAAUUGACAACCAUCGAGCCAUUAAAGAGUUUCGAAAGUCCUUUAGAGAUUUUAAUAUCAAAAUAUUUGAUAGGACUGGUAAAAAAAAAUUGACAUUUGAAUGAAUAAGAUAUAAAAUUUAAAAACUUUUGCUCAUUUUCAAAUUUAUUCUAUAAUUAUCAAAAAAAUCUCCAUUAGUAAACCUAGAAAUUUGAGAAUAUUUGAAGGAAUUUGUAAGCAUCAAUAAGAAUAUUUUUAUGGACUAAAAAUAUAUUAAAUAUUUUUUAAAAUUUGGAGGGUAUAUUAGAUAUUAUAUUCAUAAAGUUUACAUACUCUUUUUUAUUUAGGUUAAUUUCAUUUGUAUCCUCACAAAACCUUUAAAUUUUAAAAUUUAACAAAUACCCUCUAAAUACAAUAUUUCUUUCAUAAAUACUCUUACUGUUAAUUUUUUCUAACUUUCCUCAAUUUAAAAUUUUUUUAUUUUACUUCAAAAUAUUAAAUUACCAUUUUGCCCUUAAUUUGUUUACUAUUUGUUUAAAGGGUUAAUUUCAUCCGUACCCCUCUAAAUUUCAGAAAUAUUAUAAAUGCUCCUAUGAAUUUUAUCAUAAUAUUACAAUUAUCCUUCUAAAUUCAUACUUUCUUUCAAAAAUGCUCUCACUGUUAUACUCCGUCUCUUCAAGUCAUAGUAAUCUUAGUUAAAUGGCAAUCUAACACUGGUUAAAAUUUGCAAUGUUAUUUUGCCCAUUAGUUGAGAAAUUUUUUAAGGGUAUAUUAAUUAUAUAAUUUAUUAUUUAAUAUCUAACAUUUUGUUCGUUAUUUGUUUAACAUCUAAACUAACACGCUGAUAUUCUUUAGUACUAUUUAGCUCCUAACCUUUGUUAAUUAUUUAUUUUAGUUAAUCAUAUUUAAAUUUUAUUUAACUUAGAUUUCUCUUUUAGCUAUUACUUAUUAUUUUUUUUUUAUUUUAACUUUUAGAAAGUAAUUAAAAUUAUUAAAUUUGUUGGAAUCAUCAAUGGAUUGAUAAAAUCUGUAAUUUAAUUGACAAAAAUCAAUCCAAUUUCAAGAAACCAAAUAUUAAGAAGACUUUGAUAAGAAAAAAAAAAAUUUAAUUAAUUAAGGGGCUAUUUCAUAAUAUAUAUAUAUAUAAUAGUUAAGAAAAUCUCUAUAUAUUAAUAUUAGAAAAUUUGUUAGGGUAUACAUGAAAAUGUAUGGAGGGUAAAUUCGGUGUUUUUGAAAAUGUUUAUGUUUUUUUUUUAAGGUAAAUAUAAAAUUUUAAAAAUUUUAAAAGGUAUUUACGUUCUUGUUUUUUAGUAGGGGUAUCCUAUCAAGUGGCAUUUGCUCGUAGUAAAUGGUUGAGGGGGUACACCACUGCAUUUUUCACUUUUACUCCUUUCUGAUUUUUUUUAAUUUUUUUUAAAAAAGAACCACCUUUUUCUCUUCUUUUUUUUUUUUUUUCNCGUCCCCUCCCCUCCCCUCCCCUUCUCACUCUUUCUCUCUCUCUCUUUCUAUUUAUAUCCGUCCCUAUCUUUCCUCCCCUCCUUAGCAGGCGCAGAGUUUUCCUUCUCACAAAAUUACAACAAGAAACAAAAAAGAAAAGAAAAUCUCUGUCCUGCUUUCUAUCUUUAUCCUCCUUCUCUUCCUCCUCCCCCAAUCUACUACUAUUCAUUCAUUCUCUCCUCUUCCUCAUUCAUUCAUUCAUUCAUCAUCCCACCACUUGAGUUAGUUAGUCAUAUUAUCAUGAGAAAUUAAAAGAAAAAUAAAUAUCUAUCUAUAUUAAAAAAAGAGAUAGAGAUAGAGAUAGAGAUAGAGAUAGAGAUAGAGAGAUAUAGAGAUAGAGAGAUAGAGGGAUAGGGAUAGGGAGAGUGAUACCGAAAGAAGAAAGAGGGAGGAAAUCGUCGUCGUCGUCGUCGGAGAUGCGGGCGGUGAAGAUGGGCGGGGAGGCGGCGGAGGAGGAGGGGUUUCCGUCGACGCCGGGGAAGGUGAAGAUGGAGCGCGGGGGGCCCGGGCAGUACAACCGGCAGCUGCAGCGGUGCUUCGCGUCGACGAGCAGCCUGUUCCUGUGGGCGCUGUUCCUGGUGGCGCUGACGGCCUCGUACCUGAGCUUCCAGAGCUUCGUGGACACGUCGUCCCGCUACCUGUCGGCCUCCUGGGGCGGCCUCCACUGGGAGCGCCGCCUGCGCGCCUCCGCCCGCCCGCGCCGGCCCGACGGGCUCUGCGUGCUCGUCACCGGCGCCGCGGGCUUCGUGGGGUCGCACGCGUCCCUCGCCCUCCGCCGCCGCGGCGACGGCGUCCUCGGCCUCGACAACUUCAACCCCUACUACGACCCCUCCCUCAAGCGCGCGCGCCAGUCCCUCCUGGCCUCGCACGGCGUCUUCGUCGUGGAGGGCGACCUCAACGACGCCCCGCUCCUCGCCCGCCUCUUCGCCGCCGCGCCCUUCACCCACGUCCUCCACCUCGCCGCCCAGGCCGGCGUCCGCUACGCGCUCGAGAACCCGGCCUCCUACGUCCGCUCCAACGUCGCCGGCCUCGUCGCGCUCCUCGAGGCCUGCCGCGCCGCCGACCCCCAGCCCGCCGUCGUCUGGGCCUCGUCGUCCUCCGUCUACGGCCUCAACGACAAGGUCCCCUUCUCCGAGUCCGACCCCACCGACCGCCCCGCCUCGCUCUACGCCGCCACCAAGAAGGCCGGCGAGGAGAUCACCCACGCCUACAACCACAUCUACGGCCUCUCCGUCACCGGCCUCCGCUUCUUCACCGUCUACGGGCCCUGGGGCCGCCCCGACAUGGCCUACUUCGCCUUCGCGCGCGCCAUCCUGCAGGGCAAGCCCAUCACCGUCUACCGCGGCCGCGACGGCGUCGACCUCGCGCGCGACUUCACCUACAUCGACGACGUCGUGCGCGGCUGCGUCGCCUCGCUCGACACCGCGCGGCCGAGCACGGGGGGCCGCGCGGGGCGGAAGCGCGGGGAGGCGCAGUACCGGAUCUACAACCUGGGCAACAGCGCCGGUGACGGUGCCGCGGCUCGUCUACCUGCUGGAGAAGCACCUCGGGGUGCGCGCGCGGCGCAACGUCGUCGAGAUGCCCGGCAACGGCGACGUCCCCUUCACCCACGCCAACAUCUCCCUCGCCCGCGCCGAGCUCGGCUACAAGCCCACCACCAAUCUCGACGCCGGCCUCAAGAAGUUCGUCAAAUGGUACCUCUCCUACUACGGGUGCGUUCGUUUAAGUCGACUAAUUGACUCGGCACGUGUUUGGCUCGGACCACCCAAAAGUGUAAUAAUCAUCCCCAUCACCAUCACCAUCACCAUUCAUCACCAUUCAUCAUCAUAUUUUUCAAUUUUAUUUUCCCAUUUUUUACUUCACUUUUUAAUCUCGCCUCUUCUCCUUCCUCUUCUUCUUCUUCUUUUUCUUUGUAUUUUUGAAGUAGGAAUUUUUUUUUUUGGUAAUUAUUAUUAUUAUUAUUAUUAUUAUUAUUAUUAUCGGAUAAAUUUUUUUUGGGGAAAAGAAAAAAAAAAUUAUAUGAGAAAUUCGUUUCUUCGAGAAGAGGAGAAGCGGCGGAGGAGAGGAGGAGGAGGAGGAGGAGCGCACUCAAUAUGUUGUGCCUUUUGUUUUUUUCUUUUUUUUUGUUUAAUUAACUAUUUUAUUUUAUUUUUAUUUUUAUUUUAUUAAUUUUUAUCAUCAUCCUGUAAAGCGACUGUGAAUGAAUUAUUUCCCGGAUCUCGGGUUCUAAUUGGACGGCGGAGAUUGAUUCACUUGUUUUUUUUUUUGGAUUGAUGUGUUUGUUUGUUANGACCGUCCAUUUGGCUCCGCUCCUUUACUUUCCCGCCCCCAACAAUGUAUAUCGGCGAUGAGGUGUGAUAUUAAUAAAUAAUAAAUAAAAAUAAUAAUAAUAAUAAUAGUAGUACCGCGGUGGGGCCCACGUCGAGAAAGGUGGACGGUUCGAUUAGCGUGCCGAACCCAUGUGGACAGCAUGAUCUUGUUUGGAAUAUUCGGGAAAAAAAAAAGGUUAAAAAAAAAAAAAAGGAAAUGGAGUGUGAACGUUGGAGAGUCGGUGAGCUGUAAAUUUUGAGCGCUCGAUCAACAAAAAAAGAAUGAGGUGUGUUUGUGUGGUUAUGUAAUGUAACUUCUUUUUAAAUUAAGGGUUAAUUUCAUUUAGGUCCCUACAAAUAUAGUAAAUUAUAAUAAUAUUUUUAUAAAGUUUAAUUUUUUUUUAUUAUAUAUAUUGUUUCUGUAAAAAUUUUAAUAUUUUCAAAUAUGUUUCUGCCGUUAGAAAAAUUUAGUUAAUCAUAGGAUAAAUACUUAAUCCUGAUUAGUUUAUAAGAUAACUUGAUAUUUUUUAUCUCUCUUAUAUUGUACUAUCGUGACUUUUGGACGGAUAUAUUUAUGAUGACGUAAUUGAUAUUUUAUUUAAAAUAUAAACAGUUUUAUAACAGUAACAAAGCAGAAUGAUAUUUGAAAAUAUUAAAAUUUUUAUAGAGACAAAAUAUGAAAGUUGAAUUUUAUAGGAAUAUACUUGUAAUUUAUUAUAUUUGCAGAAGCCUGUAUGCAUUCAACUCUUAAAUUAAAUAGGAAAGAAAAAAAAAGUAAAUCUCUCAUUUAGUUCAAAACUACAAUUUAUCCAUUAGGAAUGUUAGUGGGUACGGAUGCUCAUAAUUUUAUCCGAACCCUGUCCUAAACGGGGCGGGUUGAAUUGGUGCUAAACUGAAAUAAUUUCAAUCAUAGGUUAAAAAAAAACAAUAACAACGAAACGAAUUCGGAUUCGGAUUCGGUUAUAGUUUUUGCGCAAAAUUUGAAAUCAAAAUCAUAUAAAAGGUAUAGAAUACAGUUUUCUAAAUACUUAUUUUAAUAACUAUAAAUUUUAAUUUAACAUUUACUGACCCAUUAAUUUUCCUACUAUUGAUUAAAACAUUAAAAAAGGUCAAAACAGUAUUUUAAAAUUUUAACCAAAUUUCAAAUAGACCAUAACUAGCGUAGGGUAUUUGUGAUAAAUUUUAAUAUUUUGAAGGGCAUUCGUAACAUUAUCUAUUUUAAAAGAAUAUUGAUAAAAUUAAUAGUUUCUAGAAGGGUAUUCAUAAAAUUAUUCCAUUUAUAUUUGAUUUACCAUAAUGUUUAUAAUAAUAGUAUUUGUUGUAUAAUAUUAUAUGAGGUCACUCUCUAUUAUUUUAUUAUUUAUAAUUAAAUGAAGUUUACAAUACCCUAAUCAAGUAAAAAUACUUUAUAUUUGUGUUUACUUUCAUAAUUAUAAUUACACUUUUGACCCCUAAAUUUUAAACACAUAACACUUCAGUAUUCAAAGGGUAAUAAUUUGUCAUAAAUUUUAGGAAAAACUUCAAAAAAAAACCCGUGGUUUAAAAUGUAUCAAUUUGCCCCCCUGUGGUUUCUUUUUUCUCUUUUUCUUAUUAAUUUCAUUAUUUUUUUUUCUUAAAUCAGCGAUAAAGUUAAAAUUAAAGGGUACUAAGUGAAUAUUUGAUAAAUCUAGAUGGGUAUUUGAAGUUUUUUGUAUAUAAUUUAAUGAAAUAUUAACGAAAAAGCUAUCGAAAAGAUAAAAACGAAACCACAGGGGGCAAUUUGAUACAUUUUAAACCACAGGGGGGUUUUUAAAGUUUUUCCUAAAUUUUAAAUUUCAACAACUUAGAUUAUUAUAAUUAAGUCUAAUUUAAUUAACUAAAUACUGAUCCGUCCCUCUUGUCGCCAUAGUAAUAUGUUAUUUUAUUCAAUAUCUCAUUACUGAUCAAAAUACUUUAGCCUCACUACUUGCUUAAUAGCAAAAAUAUAAAAGAUUUGAGCUAGACAUUAUAACAAAUUAAAAUUUAAAAAUUAAAAUAUUAUGCGCUUAAAAUUUGAGAACUAAAUAUGAAAUUUAUUCUAAAAUUUUAAUUAAAUUUAUUAUUAUUAUUAUUAGGAUAAACUUCAAAUAUCAUUCAUGUGGUUUGCACUUUCUUACUUUAGUACCCUAUGGUUUAAAGUGUAUCGAUUUGGUACCCUAAAGUUUUAUUUUUUUCUUUUCGUCAGCUCCUCUAUUAACAUUUCGUUAAAUUAUAUACAAAAAACUUCAGAUACCCCAGUUAGCUUUAUCGAAUAUUUGUUAUUGAUUUAAUAAAAAAAAUUAAUAGAGAAAAUAAUAAAAAAAAUAAAAUAAAAUUACAUAAUACUAAAUUGAUAUAGUUUAAACCAUAAAGUAUUAAAAUAAAAAAAUAUGAAAUUACAGUAAUGAUAUUUAAAGUUUUUAUUAUUAUUAUUAUUAUUAUUUUGGGUGUAAUACGUGCUUUGUAAUUUGGAUUGUACGGAUGGAGAAACAAAUACUUUUGUCGGAAGGAAAGUGCUUUACUUGCUUCGGAUGCAACAUCCUAUAUUCCAUCAAUGAUGAUAAUCAUGGAUUUUUGCCCGAGUAAUGGACGGUGGAGAUUGUGCCACGUGGCAAAGUUUUUAUGUGAAGCACUAGUAAUGGAAAGUUCAACUUUAAAGCUAAGAAAAGAAAGUAAUAUUUUUUGGGCAAACUUCAAACGCCACCUCUGUGAUUUCGCACUUUCUAACUUUUAAUCUGUGAUUUAAAGUGUAUCAAGUUAGUGUUCUAUAAUUUUAUUUUAUCUUUUCGUAAACUUCUCCGUUAAUAUUUUUUAAAAUUAUAUAUAAAAAAUUUCAGAUAGUCAAUCUAGAUUUAUUGAAUAUUCACUUUAUUAUCUUUUAUUUUUAACUUUGUCACUGUUUUAACAAAAAAAAUUAGUAAAAUCAAUAAUAAAAAGAUAAAAAUAAAACUGCGGGAAACUAACUUGAUACAUUAAUUUAAAUCACGAACGGUAUUUAAAGUUUACCAAAAAAAUUAUAAAUCUUUAAAUAGUGGGUGAAUUUUUUUUUUUUUAUUAUAGAGGAGUUGAGCUAGUAUGCUAUUGGGAGUGUAUAAGUAGUAAUUAUUAUUAAUUUUUUUAUUGUUAAAUUAUUAUUAUUAUUCUAUCAGUUUUUAUUAAAUUUUAGACGUUUAUUAAUGGUAAAAAAAAAAUUGAUAGUAAUAUAGUGCAAAAGUUAAUGUCUAAUAUAAUAUAAUAAGCAUUAAAAGAUGAGGAUAAAGAGUAAGUCCUUUUGUACUGAGUUGGGUGAUAUUAUUGUGUGGGACCCACCAAAGCCCCAGAAAAAAAAAAAAAAAAAGGGAAAAAAAAUAGAAGGGAAAGAAUUAAAAAAGGGUGGGUAGGGGACUAGAGGUGAUGAACAAGUUGUAGUGUGCCAACUAUAAAGAGGGGGUAUGGGUUGGCAAGGGUUGUGUGAGUGUGUAGUAAUUGGUAAAAGAUGAUGACACUAAUAAUGGAAGAGAAUGGGGCAUAUCUUGGCUUUUAAUGGUAAUAAUAAUAUUAAUAAUAAUGAUAAUGUGAUGGAUCCAUGUACUCAUGUGUAAUUUCUAUAGAGAGAGAGAGAGAGAGAGAGAGAGAGAGAGAUGAUGCAUGUGACAUUAAUGGCCAUAAAAUUAUUUGCAAGAGAGAAAGAAAGAGAGAGGAUGCAUGCAUGUGAUAUGAAGGCCAUAUACAUAUAGAGAGAGAGAGAGUAUGGCUAUUAUACUUUUAUGAGUAUUAGGUCAUUCGUAUUUAUAGGUUGUUUUGAAUAAUGAAGUUUUCGAAUCGACGAUUCACUCCAUUAAAUAUAGUAUAGAGUAUUUGAAAUUUUUAAAAAAUAAAUUUCAUAAUUUUUCGAAAUCAUAAUAAAAUCUAUCAAGCGGAUAUAAAUUGAACGUUCAAAAUCAAACGACGUCCUAAAAAUGAAUGAUCGGAUCCUGUCAAUUUUGUAACCUUUUGAUCGUAAGGUAAAUGAUGCAGAAGAAUGAUGAAAUUUGAUUUCUAAAAAUUUUAAAUGCUCUAGAUAACGUUUAACGGUAUAGAUCAUUGAUUUGUAAGCUCUAUCAUCGAAAAUAAUUUAUGAGUACGAAGGCAAUCGUACUCAUAAAAGUAUAAUAGCCAGACUGACUCUCUCUCUCUCUCUCUCUCUCUCUCUCUCUCUGUCUAUAUAUAUAUAUAUAUAUAAUAGAGCUACUAUGCUAUUGAAAGUAUAGAGAAUCUGAUACUUCCGACUUUUUGGCUCUUAGAUUAGCCUCUUUAAUUAUUUCCAAUUUUUGAAUUAAUACUAUUACCCUGUGGUGUAUGGAUACUACUAUACCUUAAGGGGACCACAAUCAUCCUAACCGUACAAUUUUUUAUUCAAGGGUUAAAAAAUCGAAAACAUCAAAUUCUAUAUACUUUCAAUAAUAUAGUAACUCUACACUAUAUAUAU
This 25572-nucleotide long non-coding RNA is filed under the name Ananas comosus (pineapple). Its description in RNAcentral is "long non-coding RNA (ACOM_LNC002865)". Lineage: Eukaryota; Viridiplantae; Streptophyta; Magnoliopsida; Poales; Bromeliaceae. The record is from RNAcentral.